GUGGGGAAUAUUGGACAAUGGGCGAAAGCCUGAUCCAGCCAUGCCGCGUGUGUGAAGAAGGUCUUCGGAUUGUAAAGCACUUUAAGUUGGGAGGAAGGGCAGUAAGUUAAUACCUUGCUGUUUUGACGUUACCGACAGAAUAAGCACCGGCUAACUUCGUGCCAGCAGCCGCGGUAAUACGAAGGGUGCAAGCGUUAAUCGGAAUUACUGGGCGUAAAGCGCGCGUAGGUGGUUCGUUAAGUUGGAUGGGAAAGCCCCGGGCUCAACCUGGGAACUGCAUCCAAAACUGGCGAGCUAGAGUACGGUAGAGGGUGGUGGAAUUUCCUGUGUAGCGGUGAAAUGCGUAGAUAUAGGAAGGAACACCAGUGGCGAAGGCGACCACCUGGACUGAUACUGACACUGAGGUGCGAAAGCGUGGGGAGCAAACAGGAUUAGAAACCCUGGUAGUCC
This 450-nucleotide ribosomal RNA is filed under the name uncultured bacterium. RNAcentral describes it as "partial 16S ribosomal RNA". It matches the Rfam family "Bacterial small subunit ribosomal RNA", at positions 354 to 796 of the family's 1533-position model. The record is from RNAcentral.